AGCGAACGCUGGCGGCAGGCUUAACACAUGCAAGUCGAGCGGGCGUAGCAAUACGUCAGCGGCAGACGGGUGAGUAACGCGUGGGAACAUACCUUUUGGUUCGGAACAACUGAGGGAAACUUCAGCUAAUACCGGAUAAGCCCUUACGGGGAAAGAUUUAUCGCCGAAAGAUUGGCCCGCGUCUGAUUAGCUUGUUGGUGAGGUAACGGCUCACCAAGGCGACGAUCAGUAGCUGGCUGAGAGGAUGAUCAGCCACAUUGGGACUGAGACACGGCCCAAACUCCUACGGGAGGCAGCAGUGGGAAUAUUGGACAAUGGGCGCAAGCCUGAUCCAGCCAUGCCGCGUGAGUGAUGAAGG
Molecule: ribosomal RNA, 358 nt
Filed under: uncultured bacterium
Lineage: Bacteria
Description: bacterial SSU rRNA
Rfam family: Bacterial small subunit ribosomal RNA
Source: RNAcentral